GGGAAUAUAGCUCAGUGGUAGAGUGCGUGCCUAGCAGGCAUGAGGUCUUGGGUUCAAUCCCCAGUACAUCCA
RNAcentral lists this transfer RNA (72 nucleotides) under Camelus bactrianus (Bactrian camel). It matches the Rfam family "tRNA". Rfam says of the family: Transfer RNA (tRNA) molecules are approximately 80 nucleotides in length. Their secondary structure includes four short double-helical elements and three loops (D, anti-codon, and T loops). RNAcentral also lists the same sequence under 2 other names. The record is from Rfam by way of RNAcentral. Lineage: Eukaryota; Metazoa; Chordata; Mammalia; Artiodactyla; Camelidae.